GCAGUGGUGGUUCAGUGGUAAAAUUCGUGCCUUCCAUGCAAGAGACCUGGGUUCAAUUUCCAGCCUUUGCA
This 71-nucleotide transfer RNA is filed under the name Loxodonta africana (African savanna elephant). It matches the Rfam family "tRNA". Rfam says of the family: Transfer RNA (tRNA) molecules are approximately 80 nucleotides in length. Their secondary structure includes four short double-helical elements and three loops (D, anti-codon, and T loops). Further hydrogen bonds mediate the characteristic L-shaped molecular structure. tRNAs have two regions of fundamental functional importance: the anti-codon, which is responsible for specific mRNA codon recognition, and the 3' end, to which the tRNAs corresponding amino acid is attached (by aminoacyl-tRNA synthetases). tRNAs cope with the degeneracy of the genetic code in two manners: having more than one tRNA (with a specific anti-codon) for a particular amino acid; and 'wobble' base-pairing, i.e. permitting non-standard base-pairing at the 3rd anti-codon position. Lineage: Eukaryota; Metazoa; Chordata; Mammalia; Proboscidea; Elephantidae. The record is from Rfam by way of RNAcentral.